This 344-nucleotide ribosomal RNA is filed under the name Arthrolips sp. CO973. RNAcentral describes it as "partial 12S ribosomal RNA". The record is from RNAcentral. Lineage: Eukaryota; Metazoa; Arthropoda; Insecta; Coleoptera; Corylophidae.
UCUAAUUGUAAAUUUUCCAAAGGAGUAUUAGUUAAGUUCUUGAAAUUUAAAGAUUUUGGCGGUAUUUUAAUCUUUUCAGAGGAAUCUGUUCUAUAAUUGAUAUUCCACGAUUAUAAGAACUUUAGUUAGAAAUUUGUAUAUCGUCGUUAUUUGAAUAUUUUAAAAGAAUUUAAUAUUCAAGAGUUUAGAAUUAAAACUAAAAUCAGAUCAAGGUGCAGUUUAUAUUAAAGUAGAAAUGGAUUACAAUAAAAUUAUUUAUGGAAUUAAUAUUUUGAAUUUUAAUAAAAUUGGAUUUGAAAGUAAUUAUAUUUAUAUUUUUAUAAUGAUUAAGCUCUAAAAUAUGC